RNAcentral lists this ribosomal RNA (1884 nucleotides) under Hevea brasiliensis (rubber tree). Its description in RNAcentral is "SSU rRNA". It matches the Rfam family "Eukaryotic small subunit ribosomal RNA". The record is from RNAcentral. Lineage: Eukaryota; Viridiplantae; Streptophyta; Magnoliopsida; Malpighiales; Euphorbiaceae.
AGUAGUCAUAUGCUUGUCUCAAGAUUAAGCACAUGUGUAAGUAUGAACUAAAAUUUCGACUGGGUGAAACUGCGAAUGGUCAUUAAAUCAAGUUAUUAGUUUGUUUUGACUGGUAUCUGCUACUGUCUUGCGGGAUGCGGAUACCGGUAGAUAUCUGAGCUAAUCGUGCAACAACCCCGACCUUCUGGAAGCGAGAUUUGCAUUUAUUCAGAUAAAAGUCGACGCGGGCUCUGCCCGUUGCUCUGAUGUUCAGGAUAAACUCCGAGGAUCGACGCCAUACGUGCCGGCUGACGCAUGCAUUCAAAAUUUUCUGCCCUUCAACUUUCGAUGGUAGGAUAAGAAGGCCUACCAGUGGUGGUGGACGGGUUUGACGGAGAAUAGGGUUCGAAUUCCGGAGAGGGGAGCCUGAGAAACGGCUACCACAUCCAAGUGAAGGCAGCAGGCGCGCAAAUUCCCAAUCCUGACUACGGGGAGGUAGUGACAAUAAAUAACAAUACCGGGUUCUUCGAGUCUGGUAUAUUGAAUGAGUACAAUCUAAAUCUUAACGAGGAAUCCAUGGAGGGCAAGAUCUGGUGCCAGCGCCGCGGUAAUUCCAGCUCAUAGCGUAUAUUUAAGAUUGUUGCAGUUAAAAAGCUCCGUAUUUGGACUUGGGUUGGUGGUCGACCGGUCCGCCUCCGCGGUGUGCACUGUCGGCUCGUCCUUUCUGCCGGCGAUGCGCUCCUGGCCUUAACUGGCCGGGUCGUGCCUUCCGGAAGCUGUUACUUUGAAGAAAAUUAGAGUGCUCAAAGCAAGCCUACGCUCUGGAUACAUUAGCAUCGGGAUAACAUCAUAGGAUUUCGAGUCCUAUUGUGUUGGCCUUCGGAUGCGGAGGUAAAUUGAUUAACAGGGACAGGUCGGGGGCAAUUUCGUAUUGUCAUAGCUCAGAGGUGAAAUUCAUGGAUUUUAAUGAAAAGACGAAACCAUCUGCGAAAAGCAUUUGCCAAGGAAAAUGUAUUUUCAUUAAUCAAAGGAAAGAAAGGUUGGGGGCUUCGAAGACGAUCAAUCCGUCCUAGGUCUCCAAUAUAGACGAUGCGACAGGGAUCGGCGGAUGUUGCAUUUUAGGACUCCGCCGGCACCUUAUGAGAAAUCAAAGUCUUUGGUUCGGGGGAGUAUGGGUCCGCGAAGGCUGAAACUUAAAGGCAAUUCGAACGGAAGGGCACUCAACCAGGAAGUUGGAGCCUGCGGCUCUAAUUUUGACUCAAACGGGGAAUACUUACCAGGUCAGCACAUAGUAAGGACUUGACCAGACUGAGAGCUCUUUUCGUGAUCUAUGUAGGUUGGUGCAUGGAGCCGUUUCUUAGUUGGUGGUAAGGCCGAUUUGUCUGGAUUAAUUCCGUGUACGAACGGAGACUCAGCCUGCUAAAAUAGCUAUAGCGGAGGUGACCCUCCGCCGCCAGCUUCUUUAGAGGGACUAUGGCCCUUUUAGGCCAAGGAAGUUUGAGGCAAUAACAAGGGUCUGUGAUGCCUUUAGAUGUUCUGGGCCGCACGCCGGCGCUACACUGAUGUAUUCAACGAGUCUGAUAGCCUUGGCCGACAGGUCCGCGGUAAUCUUUGAAAUUCAUCGUGAGUGGGGGAAUAGAUCAUUGCAAUUGUUUGGUCUUCAAACGAGGAAUUCCUAGUAGAGCGCGAGUCAUCAGCUCGCGGUUGACUACGUCCCUGCCCUUUGUACAUCACCCGCCCGUGCGCUCUCUACCCGAUUGAAUGGGUCCGGUGAAGUGUUCGGAUCGCGGCGACGUGGGCGGUUCGGCCGCCGCUGACGUCGCGAGAAGUCUGCACUCGAACCUUAUCAUUUUAAGAGGAAGGAGAAGUGUAAACAAGUUUCCGUCAGGUUGAAAACUGCGGAAG